AGGUAAGCUACUAAGAGCGAAUGGUGGAUGCCUUGACUGGUAAAGGCGAUGAAGGACGUACUAGACUGCGAUAAGCUACGGGGAGCUGUCAAGAAGCUUUGAUCCGUAGAUUUCCGAAUGGGGCAACCCAAUGUAUAGAGAUAUACAUUACCUAUAUAGGAGCGAACGAGGGGAAUUGAAACAUCUUAGUACCCUCAGGAAAAGAAAUCAAUAGAGAUUGCGUCAGUAGCGGCGAGCGAAAGCGCAAGAGGGCAAACCCAGUGCUUGCACUGGGGGUUGUAGGACUGCAAUGUGCAAGAGGUGAGUUUAGCAGAACAUUCUGGAAAGUAUAGCCAUAGAGGGUGAUAGUCCCGUAUGCGAAAAACAAACCUUAGCUAGCAGUAUCCUGAGUAGGGCGGGACACGAGAAAUCCUGUCUGAAGCUGGGUCGACCACGAUCCAACCCUAAAUACUAAUACCAGAUCGAUAGUGCACAAGUACCGUGAGGGAAAGGUGAAAAGAACUGAGGUGAUCAGAGUGAAAUAGAACCUGAAACCAUUUGCUUACAAUCAUUCAGAGCCCUAUGUAGCAAUACAGGGUGAUGGACUGCCUUUUGCAUAAUGAGCCUGCGAGUUGUGGUGUCUGGCAAGGUUAAGCAAACGCGAAGCCGUAGCGAAAGCGAGUCUGAAUAGGGCGCUUAGUCAGAUGCUGCAGACCCGAAACGAAGUGAUCUAUCCAUGAGCAAGUUGAAGCUAGUGUAAGAACUAGUGGAGGACUGAACCCAUAGGCGUUGAAAAGCCCCGGGAUGACUUGUGGAUAGGGGUGAAAGGCCAAUCAAACUUCGUGAUAGCUGGUUCUCUCCGAAAUAUAUUUAGGUAUAGCGUUGUGUCGUAAUAUAAGGGGGUAGAGCACUGAAUGGGCUAGGGCAUACACCAAUGUACCAAACCCUAUCAAACUCCGAAUACCUUAUAUGUAAUCACAGCAGUCAGGCGGCGAGUGAUAAAAUCCGUCGUCAAGAGGGAAACAACCCAGACUACCAGCUAAGGUCCCUAAAUCUUACUUAAGUGGAAAACGAUGUGAAGUUACUUAAACAACCAGGAGGUUGGCUUAGAAGCAGCCAUCCUUUAAAGAAAGCGUAAUAGCUCACUGGUCUAGUGAUUUUGCGCGGAAAAUAUAACGGGGCUAAAGUAAGUACCGAAGCUGUAGACUUGCGCACAACUUAGAUUAUUUAAGUUUAGAAUAUGAGAAACUAAGUUAUAUGUUUAGUUAUAUUUUUACUGAUUUUUAUAGAGUAAAGAUAGAAAUAAAACUUAGUAAAAUCAGUAAAAAUAUUCUUAGACUAAAGUUAAGUAGUUUAAGUUGUGUGCAAGUGGUAGGAGAGCGUUCUAUUUGCGUCGAAGGUAUACCGGUAAGGAGU
This 1395-nucleotide ribosomal RNA is filed under the name Campylobacter coli. Its description in RNAcentral is "partial 23S ribosomal RNA". It matches the Rfam family "Bacterial large subunit ribosomal RNA", at positions 1 to 1271 of the family's 2925-position model. The record is from RNAcentral. Lineage: Bacteria; Pseudomonadati; Campylobacterota; Epsilonproteobacteria; Campylobacterales; Campylobacteraceae.